Molecule: ribosomal RNA, 440 nt
Filed under: uncultured bacterium
Lineage: Bacteria
Description: partial 16S ribosomal RNA
Rfam family: Bacterial small subunit ribosomal RNA
Source: RNAcentral
CCUACGGGCGGCAGCAGUAGGGAAUAUUGCUCAAUGGGGGAAACCCUGAAGCAGCAACGCCGCGUGGAGGAUGAAGGUUUUCGGAUUUUAAACUCCCUUUGUUAGAGAAGAUAAUGACGGUAUCUAACGAAUAAGCACCGGCUAACGCCGUGCCAGCAGCCGCGGUAAUACGGAGGGUGCAAGCGUUACUCGGAAUCACUGGGCGUAAAGAGCGCGUAGGCGGGGUAGCAAGUCAGAUGGGAAAUCCUAUGGCUUAACCCUCGAACUGCAUUUGAAACUGUUAUUCUAGAGUAGGCGAGAGGUAGGUGGAAUGCGUGGUGUAGGGGUAAAAUCCGUAGAGAUCAAGAGGAAUACUCAUUGCGAAGGCGACCUGCUAGAACAUAACUGACGCUGAUGCGCGAAAGCGUGGGUAGCAAACAGGAUUAGAUACCCUAGUAGUC